UUGGAGGGCAAGUCUGGUGCCAGCAGCCGCGGUAAUUCCAGCUCCAAUAGCGUAUAUUAAAGUUGUUGCAGUUAAAAAGCUCGUAGUUGAACUUCGGGAUCAAUGGAUUGGUCAUGCCGAUGGUGUGUACUGGUCAUAUUGGUUCUCACCUUCUAAGGAACCAUAAUGUCAUUUAUUUGAUGUUGUGGGGAAUUAGGACUGUUACCUUGAAAAAAUUAGAGUGUUUAAAGCAGGCUAACGCUUGAAUACAUUAGCAUGGAAUAAUGAGAUAGGACAUCGCAUUCUAUUUUGUUGGUUUCUAGGAUCGAUGUAAUGAUUAAUAGGGAUAGUUGGGGGCAUUAGUAUUCAAUUGUCAGAGGUGAAAUUCUUGGAUUUAUUGAAGACUAACUACUGCGAAAGCAUUUGCCAAGGAUGUUUUCAUUAAUCAAGAACGAAAGUUAGGGGAUCGAAGACGAUCAGAUACCGUCGUAGUCUUAACCAUAAACUAUGCCGACUAGGGAUCGGAUGAUGUUAUUUUUAAUGACUCAUUCGGCGCCUUACGGGAAAC
This 547-nucleotide ribosomal RNA is filed under the name uncultured Glomus. RNAcentral's name for it is "SSU rRNA". It matches the Rfam family "Eukaryotic small subunit ribosomal RNA", at positions 548 to 1098 of the family's 1831-position model. The record is from RNAcentral. Lineage: Eukaryota; Fungi; Glomeromycota; Glomeromycetes; Glomerales; Glomeraceae.